CUCAUUUUUCUACUGCUCGUGAUGUUCAGCCCACAAGAGCUUACUGGUGAAGGAAUGGGACAAGACCCAUCUUUAUGCAAAGCCAGCGUUACAGUAAUGUUCCAGGUAUUCCUGAUGACAGUCUGCCUCUAUCUUACAGAGCAGCUUGUUGCUAUAUACCAUUGAAAAGCCUUCAGAGCUGAGAGGUACUACUAACCAAUAACCUGCUUGGCUCAAAGGGCCAGCACCUUCUCUCUAAAGCCCAAGAGGAGUUUGAGGAAAACUAGGUGUCUGUGUUCACUCCAGGCUGAAGUUACAGGUCUGAGCAAAUAAGGUGUAUAAAAAAUGGAAUCUGUCUUGGAGGACAUCAGAAGGUGAAUUUUCCAAGUUCUUGGACAACCUAGCUGUUGAAAAGCUUUCUGGGUUUGGGGGGUAUUUCAGAUGUACCUUAAAGUGUUAGCAGACACAGAUUAAGACACUGGGAGCCAAUGAAACAGCAGUUGAGGGUUUGCUGUGUAUCACAUUUCUGUAUUUUAUCACCCCCUUCCUGCAACAUUAUUUAUCUGGAAUCUACCUGCCCUUUUGUUUUUUAGAUACAAGGGCUUGGUUUUGUUACCCAGGCUGGUUUCAAGGCCAUAGCUUUAAGAGAUCCUCUCACCACAGAUUUCCAAAGUGCUGGGAUUGCAGGUGUGAUUCAUGGCACCCAGACUUUGCUGCCUUUCUUACAUGAUCCAGGCCCAGAACCCAAACUCAGGCACUGUAUAGAUGACCACUUUCGUAAACUACUGACCUAGCUUGUUGCCAAUUGUUGAUUGAACUUCCCAUAACUCCACUUCGUGUCUGUUCCUCUGUAUACAGCCACCUUCUGUUCCCGUCAUGAGCCUUUAGGUCUCCAUUUGCAUAUUGCAAAUACUAUGUUCCAUGUAGGUAGCUCAUUCAGGGCCUUGCUCUUCACUUCAAAAAAGGUUCCCUUGAGGACUGGCUGUCAAUUUGUGUUGCUGUGUUGGUUGUUGAUGAAAAUAAUAAAAUGAUUGAUUACAUAGUCCUGUUUAAAAAAAAAAAAA
Molecule: long non-coding RNA, 1043 nt
Filed under: Homo sapiens (human)
Lineage: Eukaryota; Metazoa; Chordata; Mammalia; Primates; Hominidae
Description: small nucleolar RNA host gene 1, transcript variant 5 (SNHG1)
Source: RNAcentral